RNAcentral lists this ribosomal RNA (301 nucleotides) under uncultured bacterium. RNAcentral describes it as "partial 16S ribosomal RNA". It matches the Rfam family "Bacterial small subunit ribosomal RNA", at positions 509 to 807 of the family's 1533-position model. The record is from RNAcentral.
CAGUCGCCGCGGGAAUACGUAGGGUGCGAGCGUUGUCCGGAAUUAUCGGGCGUAAAGAGCUUGUAGGCGGUCUGUCGCGUCUGCUGUGAAAACCCGAGGCUCAACCUCGGGCCUGCAGUGGGUACGGGCAGACUAGAGUGCGGUAGGGGAGAACGGAACUCCUGGUGUAGCGGUGGUAUGCGCAGAUAUCAGGAAGAACACCGAUGGCGAAGGCAGUUCUCUGGGCCGUAACUGACGCUGAGAAGCGAAAGCGUGGGGAGCGAACAGGAUUAGAUACCCCAGUAGUCCCUGUCUCUUAUAC